Molecule: ribosomal RNA, 433 nt
Filed under: uncultured bacterium
Lineage: Bacteria
Description: partial 16S ribosomal RNA
Rfam family: Bacterial small subunit ribosomal RNA
Source: RNAcentral
AACGAACGCUGGCGGCAUGCCUAACACAUGCAAGUCGAACGAGACCUUCGGGUCUAGUGGCGCACGGGUGCGUAACGCGUGGGAACCUGCCCUUAGGUUCGGAAUAACUCCCCGAAAGGUGUGCCAAUACCGGAUAAUGUCUUCGGACCAAAGAUUUAUCGCCUUUGGAUGGGCCCGCGUUGGAUUAGCUAGUUGGUAGGGUAAAAGCCUACCAAGGCGACGAUCCAUAGCUGGUCUGAGAGGAUGAUCAGCCACACUGGGACUGAGACACGGCCCAGACUCCUACGGGAGGCAGCAGUGGGGAAUAUUGGACAAUGGGCGAAAGCCUGAUCCAGCAAUGCCGCGUGAGUGAUGAAGGCCUUAGGGUUGUAAAGCUCUUUUACCCGGGAUGAUAAUGACAGUACCGGGAGAAUAAGCUCCGGCUAACUCCGUG